RNAcentral lists this non-coding RNA (93 nucleotides) under Nostocoides sp. Its description in RNAcentral is "Tetrasphaera sp. Glycine sequence". It matches the Rfam family "Glycine riboswitch aptamer". Rfam says of the family: This family represents the bacterial glycine riboswitch. Glycine riboswitches usually consist of two metabolite-binding aptamers domains with similar structures in tandem. The aptamers cooperatively bind glycine to regulate the expression of downstream genes. Lineage: Bacteria; Bacillati; Actinomycetota; Actinomycetes; Micrococcales; Intrasporangiaceae. The record is from RNAcentral.
UCACACCGUGCGGGAGAGUCCUCGGUACCGCCGGGGCGCCGAAGGGGCAACACUCCCCAGAACCUCUCAGGCGCAAGGGACCGCUCGGGACAG